AUCCCUUCCGUAGGGUGAACCUGCGGAAGGAUCAUUAUCGAGUUUUUGAAACGGGUUGUCGCUGGUCCCAUUCUUAACAGAGUCGGGACAUGUGCACACCUGGCUUCAUUCCACUCUUCAACCCCUGUGCACUUGUUGUAGGUUUCAGGUCGGACGCGGGGCUUUCGACUUCAUCGUCGAGAGCUUCAAGGAAAGCCUGAGCCUAUGUUUUACUACACACACGCUUCAGUUAUAGAAUGUAAACAUCGCGUAUAACGCAUUUUAAAUACAACUUUCAGCAACGGAUCUCUUGGCUCUCGCAUCGAUGAAGAACGCAGCGAAAUGCGAUAAGUAAUGUGAAUUGCAGAAUUCAGUGAAUCAUCGAAUCUUUGAACGCACCUUGCGCUCCUUGGUAUUCCGAGGAGCAUGCCUGUUUGAGUGUCAUGGAAUUCUCAACCUUUGAAAGCUUUUAUUGGUUCUCAAAGGCUUGGACUUGGAGGUCGUGUCGGCUCUGCAAAGAAUAUCGACUCCUCUGAAACGUAUCAGUGCGAACCUUUACGGAUCGUCUUCGGUGUGAUAAACGUCUACGCCGUGGUCGUGAAGUAUGAUCGUGUCCGUGCUUCUAACCGUCUCCUUUUCUGUAAACGGAAAAACUGUGUUACUUACUAUAAGUAACAUAGGCUAUCUACAAAUUGUGACCCUUUCCAAA
RNAcentral lists this ribosomal RNA (688 nucleotides) under Phlebia tremellosa. RNAcentral's name for it is "eukaryotic LSU rRNA". The stretch from base 270 to 423 matches the Rfam family "5.8S ribosomal RNA". Lineage: Eukaryota; Fungi; Basidiomycota; Agaricomycetes; Polyporales; Meruliaceae. The record is from RNAcentral.